This 371-nucleotide ribosomal RNA is filed under the name uncultured organism. Its description in RNAcentral is "bacterial SSU rRNA". It matches the Rfam family "Bacterial small subunit ribosomal RNA", at positions 526 to 896 of the family's 1533-position model. The record is from RNAcentral.
CAGAGACUGCAAGCGUUAUUCGGAUUCACUGGGCGUAAAGGGUGCGCAGGCGGCCAAGUGUGUUAGGCGUGAAAGCCCGGGGCUUAACCCGGAUUGCACCUAAACUACAUGGCUAGAGCAUUGGAGAGGGUAGCGGAAUUCACGGUGUAGCAGUGAAAUGCGUAGAUAUCGUGAGGAACACCAGAGGCGAAGGCGGCUACCUGGACAAUUGCUGACGCUCAGGCACGAAAGCGUGGGGAGGCAAAAGGGAUUAGAUACCCCUCGUAGUCCACGCCCUAAACGGUGCACACCAGGUCUUGGCGGAUUCGACCCCACCAGGGCCCAAGCUAACGCGUUAAGUGUGCCGCCUGAGGACUACGGCCGCAAGGCUA